Molecule: unclassified non-coding RNA, 279 nt
Filed under: plant metagenome
Description: partial contains small subunit ribosomal RNA, internal transcribed spacer 1, and 5.8S ribosomal RNA
Source: RNAcentral
UCUCCGUAGGUGAACCUGCGGAGGGAUCAUUACAGAGUUCAUGACCUACCGGGUAGCUCUUCCACCCAAUGUUAUCAUUAUUUUGUUGCUUUCGCGGGCCGUUAUGCCCCUGCCCGGGAACCAGCCCCGGCCGGUAGGCACCCGCCACAGGACCCAAAACCCUGCAUUCUAGUGUCGACUCAGUACAAUAUAAUAAUUAAAACUAUCAACAACCUCUUUCUUGUUUCUGGCAUCGAUGAAGAAGGAAACAGAACGGAAACGCACACGUACGCAAUCCAC